Molecule: ribosomal RNA, 758 nt
Filed under: uncultured bacterium
Lineage: Bacteria
Description: bacterial SSU rRNA
Rfam family: Bacterial small subunit ribosomal RNA
Source: RNAcentral
GCGUAGGUAACCUGCCUGGUAGCGGGGGAUAACUAUUGGAAACGAUAGCUAAUACCGCAUAAUAUCUUUGAUUGCAUGAUUGAAGUUUGAAAGAUGCAACUGCAUCACUACCAGAUGGACCUGCGUUGUAUUAGCUAGUAGGUGAGGUAAAGGCUCACCUAGGCGACGAUACAUAGCCGACCUGAGAGGGUGAACGGCCACACUGGGACUGAGACACGGCCCAGACUCCUACGGGAGGCAGCAGUAGGGAAUCUUCGGCAAUGGGGGCAACCCUGACCGAGCAACGCCGCGUGAGUGAAGAAGGUUUUCGGAUCGUAAAGCUCUGUUGUAAGAGAAGAACGUGUGUGAGAGUGGAAAGUUCACACAGUGACGGUAACUUACCAGAAAGGGACGGCUAACUACGUGCCAGCAGCCGCGGUAAUACGUAGGUCCCGAGCGUUAUCCGGAUUUAUUGGGCGUAAGGCGAGCGCAGGCGGUUGGAUAAGUCUGAAGUUAAAGGCUGUGGCUCAACCAUAGUAUGCUUUGGAAACUGUUCAACUUGAGUGCAGAAGGGGAGAGUGGAAUUCCAUGUGUAGCGGUGGAAUGCGUAGAUAUAUGGAGGAACACCGGUGGCGAAAGCGGCUCUCUGGUCUGUAACUGACGCUGAGGCUCGAAAGCGUGGGUAGCGAACAGGAUUAGAUACCCUGGUAGUCCACGCCGUAAACGAUGAGUGCUAGGUGUUAGGCCCUAUCCGGGGCUUAGUGCCGCAGCUAACGCAU